RNAcentral lists this long non-coding RNA (2479 nucleotides) under Nicotiana benthamiana. RNAcentral describes it as "long non-coding RNA (NBEN_LNC015899)". Lineage: Eukaryota; Viridiplantae; Streptophyta; Magnoliopsida; Solanales; Solanaceae. The record is from RNAcentral.
CUGCCAUCUCUUUUUACGAGCCACUCCAAUCUCUGUUUAUAAUUAAUUAUUACAGAACAAUGAUCGAAUAAAUUACACAAAUAAAAAAGAAAUUAAACUAUUGGGAGCUUUAAGUUGGCCUGAAGCCAAUCCCCCAGGCUUUCAGCAGUCUCAAAUGCCAAGGAUUUCAUAGCCAAUUUCAUGUCCACAUGUGCUAGAGUUCCCUAAGGACCUCAAGGAUCCUGGGAAGUGCUCACACCUAGACUUUUCACAACAUGGAUUGAGUAAGUGCGGUGCGGAAUAGCCAGCCCAAGUGUGUCAGGGUUCAAAGAGAUCUUAAGACGAUCCCAAGGCAGUAUACGCACUGGAAAGGCAGAACCUAGGGACUUAAGAGUAGAGUGAGAGUUCUUGAAAUAGUUUUGAAUUUUUUUUACAAUAGUACCAAAUGACUCUAUUAGUAAAGAGGUUUUUCUGUAAAAUAGGAGUGAUUUAGAAGCAAAAUAGUUUGAACCAGACAAACACUUUUGAAAAAAAUCAGCAAGCAGCCUGAUUGGUUAUAGGACAAACAGGUUUAGCACCAUUCAACAUUUAUUUUUUACACAGAGAUAGUUGGGGUUUGGGGACAUAUAGAAUACACAUUAGUGUGUGGUAGCAGCACAUAAACAACAAGUUGCACAGAAGUUUUCAAGAAUUUUAUAGGAUUAGAAGUUAUUCAUAAGAAUGGGCGGAAGAGACAUAGAGAAAAGAUCACAAACAUCCAUUUAGAAAAAAAAAACAUAUUAACACUGGACAUAUUGGCACACAGUCAAAGUUACAUUGAGAUACUAGACAACUUAGUAAAGCAGAUUAAGUAAGAACCUAAGUGAAAAACUUAGAUAAACAUCAUGAGUAUUCCUAGUUCAAACAUGCUGGCAUACUUAACAAGUACAUUUAAAUAUGCUGGAUAAAGCAGUAGGCAGAAUUAGACAUACUAAUAAAUACGUUUUAAUAGAAAUCAAAUUCAGACAUGCUGGGUGAAACAAUAAUCAGGUAGUGAAUUUUAGACAUACUAGUUACAUAUUGAACUACGUGAUGGUAAACAAGAAAUAUGAUUAGGAGUCAUAACUAAUGAACUAGAACAACAAAAAAUGCAUAGAGUUUGUACUUUGAAAUUGAAUCAUGACAUACCAGUUAAGGAGAAAAACACUGAGUAUAGAGCAGAUGUGGUGCAAUAGCUAGCUUUGGAUUACAGCCGGCUGGGUUAGUGAAAAUUGCAAGUAACAAAGAAAAAAACAGAGAGAGCUUUUAAGUAUAAGAGAGUUUUUAGAACUAGUGUUUGUGUGUAGAAGUGAGAAUAGAUGAGAGUAUAAAUAGUAUUCAAGAGUUAAACAUAAUAAGGUAAAGAAUCAAUUAUGUAGAAAUUAGAAAAAUUUACAAAAUCAGUCAUACAUAAAAUCAGUGAAGUCUCCCCUAACCAAGGGGUAAUCAACCAAUGGUAAAGAGCAAGAUAUAUAUUUAAAAGGAAGGAAUAUCAAACAGAGACUUAGGUACAUAAUAGGAAAUUAGGAGUAAAUAAAUAGGAGUUUAAUUAAGGAAACAAUUAGUGAAGAAUCUAUAAGUGUCACAACUAAUCAAAAUAAGGUAUGAAAAUAAUUAAAAGGUUGUAAAAAAUAAUCGAGAAAUCAGCACAAAAAUAUAAAUAUAGCAAAUUAGUGAAUCAAAGACUCGGAAAAAAUAAUAUUGACUAAAGGAGAAUUAAUAGGUUUCCAUGAAUAAACAGAUAAGCCAAGUAUAAAUACAUAAUUAAGCAAAAAUCGAAUCAGGAACCUUAAUAGAGGCACAUUAGGGUAAAAUCACAAGACAUUCAAAUUAAAUGAAUGAGAAACCAUGCCAAUCAAAGCAAAUAACAAAAUCAUAUCGCAAGUAACAUGUGCAAGCUUAGAAUCCAAGAAAAAAUGUCAAAAAAUUGCGGUUUUGGCAUAAACUAGUUUGGGUUGAGGCAAACUCAACUAUAAUUGGUCAAAAACACAAAAGAAUAGAAGAUGAAACAUUUAAAACUAGAAAACGUUUUGAGGAAAAAGAUUUACAGGAAACCCUAGUUUAGAAAAUUGAAAAGCCACUCGAAAAUUAGAAGAUUUUCGCAAAAAUCAUGAGAAAUAAGUUCAAACCAUCUCAGAUCUUGUACAGAUAUGAGAAGUUCAAAGGACAAAAUGAGGAUUUUACUAGGCCUACAAAUCCAUAGGCUAAAGGCGAAAUAGGAAGAUCUUACUCGAAAUCGAGUCAGAAUAGCCUGAAAUAGGCAAGAAAAGGCCAAAGGCGUAAGAGAACUAACCUUGGUCCCUCGAAGACCUUAGAGACAGCGGUAACCAGCAUAGGACAGACCACUAGAGGCCUGGGUGUGGUGAGAAACCACCAUGGAUGGCACUGGAUGAGUGACAGCAAGGGAGAGUUAGGGUUAGGAUUAGAGAGCAUCUGAGAGAGAAAUGGAGGGGGUGAUUGCGAGGUGAGAAGAGAGAAUAAG